GACGAACGCUGGCGGCGUGCUUAACACAUGCAAGUCGAACGGAAAGGCCCUGCUUUUGUGGGGUGCUCGAGUGGCGAACGGGUGAGUAACACGUGAGUAACCUGCCCUCUACUUUGGGAUAACUUCAGGAAACUGGGGCUAAUACCGGAUAUUAGCUCCUGCUCGCUGGUGGGGGUUGGGAAGUUUCGGCGGUUGGGGAUGGACUCGCGGCUUGUCAGCUUGUUGGUGGGGUAGUGGCUGACCAAGGCUUUGACGGGUAGCCGGCCUGAGAGGGUGACCGGCCACAUUGGGACUGAGAUACGGCCCAGACUCCUACGGGAGGCAGCAGUGGGGAAUAUUGCACAAUGGGCGGAAGCCUGAUGCAGCAACGCCGCGUGCGGGAUGACGGCCUUCGGGUUGUAAACCGCUUUCGCCUGUGACGAAGCGGGAGUGACGGUAAUGGGUAAAGAAGCACCGGCUAACUACGUG
RNAcentral lists this ribosomal RNA (468 nucleotides) under uncultured bacterium. RNAcentral's name for it is "partial 16S ribosomal RNA". It matches the Rfam family "Bacterial small subunit ribosomal RNA", at positions 28 to 507 of the family's 1533-position model. The record is from RNAcentral.